GAUGAAGAACGUAGUGAAAUGCGAUAAGUAAUGUGAAUUGCAGAAUUCAGUGAAUCAUCGAAUCUUUGAACGCUCAUUGCGCCCGCCAGUAUUCUGGCGAGCAUGCCUGUUCGAGCGUCAUUUCAACCAUCAAGCCCCAGGCUUGUGUUGGAGCCCUGCGGCUGCCGCAGCCUCCCAAAACCAGUGGCGGGCUCGCUAUCACACCGAGUGCAGUAGUUUACUCUUCGCUCAGGGCGUGUGGCGGGUGCUAGCCGUGAAACCCCCAACUUCUCAAGGUUGACCUCGGAUCAGGUAGGAAUACCCGCUGAACUUAAGCAUAUCAAUAAGCGGAGGA
Molecule: unclassified non-coding RNA, 334 nt
Filed under: soil metagenome
Description: partial contains 5.8S ribosomal RNA, internal transcribed spacer 2, and large subunit ribosomal RNA
Rfam family: 5.8S ribosomal RNA (bases 1-120)
Source: RNAcentral